CGAACGUUAGCGGCGGGCUUAACACAUGCAAGUCGAACGAGAAAGAGUCCUUCGGGGCUUGAGUAAAGUGGCGCACGGGUGAGUAACAAGUGGGUAAUCAACCCUCCGGCGGGGGACAACCACUGGAAACGGUGGCUAAUACCGCAUACGUCCUGAGACUCUUCGGGGUUUUAGGAGAAAGGCUUCGGCCUCCGGAGGACGAGCCCGCGUCCCAUCAGCUUGUUGGUGAGGUAAAAGCUUACCAAGGCGAAGACGGGUAGCUGGUCUGAGAGGAUGAUCAGCCACACUGGGACUGAGACACGGCCCAGACUCCUACGGGAGGCAGCAGUGGGGAAUAUUGGACAAUGGGCGAAAGCCUGAUCCAGCCACGCCGCGUGUGUGAUGAAGGCCCUCGGGUCGUAAAGCACUGUGGGGAAGGAAGAAGUUCUGACGGUACUUCCUUAGCAAGCACCGGCUAACUCC
This 462-nucleotide ribosomal RNA is filed under the name uncultured bacterium. RNAcentral describes it as "bacterial SSU rRNA". It matches the Rfam family "Bacterial small subunit ribosomal RNA", at positions 30 to 504 of the family's 1533-position model. The record is from RNAcentral.